AGCGAACGCUGGCGGCAGGCCUAACACAUGCAAGUCGAACGGAUCCUUCGGGAUUAGUGGCGGACGGGUGAGUAACACGUGGGAACGUGCCCUUUGGUUCGGAGCAACUCAGGGAAACUUGAGCUAAUACCGGAUGUGCCCUUCGGGGGAAAGAUUUAUCGCCAUUGGAGCGGCCCGCGUCGGAUUAGCUAGUUGGUGGGGUAAAGGCCCACCAAGGCGACGAUCCGUAGCUGGUCUGAGAGGAUGAUCAGCCACAUUGGGACUGAGACACGGCCCAAACUCCUACGGGAGGCAGCAGUGGGGAAUCUUGCGCAAUGGCGAAAGCCUGACGCAGCCAUGCCGCGUGAAUGAUGAAGGUCUUAGGAUUGUAAAAUUCUUUCACCGGGGACGAUAAUGACGGUACCCGGAGAAGAAGCCCCGGCUAACUUCGUGCCAGCAGCCGCAGUAA
Molecule: ribosomal RNA, 448 nt
Filed under: uncultured bacterium
Lineage: Bacteria
Description: partial 16S ribosomal RNA
Rfam family: Bacterial small subunit ribosomal RNA
Source: RNAcentral